Molecule: long non-coding RNA, 930 nt
Filed under: Mytilus galloprovincialis (Mediterranean mussel)
Lineage: Eukaryota; Metazoa; Mollusca; Bivalvia; Mytilida; Mytilidae
Source: RNAcentral
ACACGGCUGGUAAUCUACACACGCAGAACAUUUGGUUCUGCAAUGAAAACCGUGAGAGGAUUUUCCGGUUGUGCUUGAGUGGAGUAAUUGUCACCGCUUCAAAAGGUAUGUACAUUUCUAAAUCUCAAUUUUCUUAUUCAACUGAUCAAAAUAUUGAAAAUCGGAGAAUGCUAUGCUGUGGUGAAUACUUUAACGAAAAGAUGCAUGUAUCAUUUACUGUUGUACGUAGAGUUGAACUCCUACGAAAUCAGUUGUCCCACGAGAAAUUGCCUAAAAAAGUGACAUUUCAAUUUUGAAUGGUUCUAUUUACAGACCUAAAAGUUCAAAUUUAGUAUUUUUUUCGGGCAAUGGGUAUGAAUGUUGCUUUUGGAGGCGUGUGCGCUCUCCGGUGUUGAUAGACGUCUUUAUAAUUCCAAAAACAACAUUUUUCCAUGAAGUCAUGCGUGAGGGGAUCGGUUCUGAUUGAGGACAUCGUGAAUGCGUGAGGGGAAGUACAAACAUUUUUUUUAAUCUUUGGCUUUGUGACUUUUGUUGACUCAAUAAAUGUGAUCAAAUCAAUGCUGAUUAAAAAGCACAGAUUUAUCCUUAUACUUUAAUAGAUGUUAACUGAUCACUGAUUUAAUGAAAUCAAACUAUUAAUUGUUUGUUCAAUUUCAGAAAAUGCCAUUGUUCAAAGGAAAAAGGAAAAGAGGACUGAAAUUGACUCUCUACAAAAAACCAUGGAGAUACAAGUUAUCCCCGCCCUCGAAGCGAACUAAACCCCCUGGGAGUAGUCCUGUCGUCAAAUAUACGUCACAGAGAUCACCACAUAUUUAAGAAAAUUAUAUCGCCGAUGAAAACUUCGACACCUAUUAGACGAAAUCUGUUCGCCCAAAAUCACGAAAUAUUCGAAACAACACCGGCAGAUAUACAGAUGAUUCUAAAAACACA